Molecule: ribosomal RNA, 305 nt
Filed under: uncultured bacterium
Lineage: Bacteria
Description: bacterial SSU rRNA
Rfam family: Bacterial small subunit ribosomal RNA
Source: RNAcentral
CUUAACCUACGGGAGGCAGCAGUGGGGGAUAUUGCACAAUGGGGGGAACCCUGAUGCAGCGACGCCGCGUGGGUGAAGAAGUAUUUCGGUAUGUAAAGCCCUAUCGGCAGGGAAGAAAUUGGACGGUACCUGACUAAGAAGCCCCGGCUAACUACGUGCCAGCAGCCGCGGUAAUACGUAUGGUGCAAGCGUUAUCCGGAUUUACUGGGUGUAAAGGGAGCGCAGGCGGCGCGUUAAGCCUUGUGUGAAAUGCCGCGGCCCAACCGCGGGACUGCAUUGGGAACUGGCGCGCUGGAGGUCCGGAG